This is a small nucleolar RNA of Lupinus angustifolius (narrow-leaved blue lupine), 98 nucleotides long. It matches the Rfam family "Small nucleolar RNA R32/R81/Z41". From Rfam's summary of the family: This family contains the related snoRNAs R32, R81 and Z41 which are members of the C/D class of snoRNA containing the C (UGAUGA) and D (CUGA) box motifs. Most of the members of the box C/D family function in directing site-specific 2'-O-methylation of substrate RNAs. The record is from Rfam. NCBI's taxonomy places the organism in Eukaryota, Viridiplantae, Streptophyta, Magnoliopsida, Fabales, Fabaceae.
AUACGAAUAUGAUGAUAGCAAAUUCAAAAAAAGAUGAGUGAUUAUCAUGUAUUUGAUAUGAUCAAAACUUUUAUCGCUACGUUCUUUCUGAUUCGUUC